GUCUGAAUAGGGCGAAUGAGUAUUUGGUCGUAGACCCGAAACCAGGUGAUCUACCCUUGGUCAGGUUGAAGUUCAGGUAACACUGAAUGGAGGACCGAACCGACUUACGUUGAAAAGUGAGCGGAUGAACUGAGGGUAGCGGAGAAAUUCCAAUCGAACUUGGAGAUAGCUGGUUCUCUCCGAAAUAGCUUUAGGGCUAGCCUCAAGUGAUGAUUAUUGGAGGUAGAGCACUGUUUGGACGAGGGGCCCCUCUCGGGUUACCGAAUUCAGACAAACUCCGAAUGCCAAAUAAUUUAACUUGGGAGUCAGAAUGUGGGUGAUAAGGUCCAUAUUCGAAAGGGAAACAGCCCAGACCACCAGCUAAGGUCCCAAAAUAUAUGUUAAGUGGAAAAGGAUGUGGCGUUGCCCAGACAACUAGGAUGUUGGCUUAGAAGCAGCCAUCAUUUAAAGAGUGCGUAAUAGCUCACUAGUCGAGUGACACUGCGCCGAAAAUGUACCGGGGCUAAACAUAUUACCGAAGCUGUGGAUUGUCCUUUGGACAAUGGUAGGAGAGCGUUCUAAGGGCGUUGAAGCAUGAUCGCAAGGACAUGUGGAGCGCUUAGAAGUGAGAAUGCCGGUGUGAGUAGCGAAAGACGGGUGAGAAUCCCGUCCACCGAUUGACUAAGGUUUCCAGAGGAAGGCUCGUCCGCUCUGGGUUAGUCGGGUCCUAAGCUGAGGCCGACAGGCGUAGGCGAUGGAUAACAGGUUGAUAUUCCUGUACCACCAUUAUUCGUUUUAAGCGAUGGGGGGACGCAGUAGGAUAGGCGAAGCGUGCUGUUGGAGUGCACGUCCAAGCAGUGAGAUUGAGUGUUAGGCAAAUCCGGCACUCUUAAGAUUGAGCUGUGAUGGGGAGAGGAACUUGUUCCUCGAGUCGUUGAUUUCACACUGCCGAGAAAAGCCUCUAGCUAGAAUAACGGUGCCCGUACCGCAAACCGACACAGGUAGUCAAGAUGAGAAUUCUAAGGUGAGCGAGCGAACUCUCGUUAAGGAACUCGGCAAAAUGACCCCGUAACUUCGGGAGAAGGGGUGCUCUUUGAGGUUCACGCUUCGAAGAGCCGCAGUGAAUAGGCCCAAGCGACUGUUUAUCAAAAACACAGGUCUCUGCUAAACCGUAAGGUGACGUAUAGGGGCUGACGCCUGCCCGGUGCUGGAA
Molecule: ribosomal RNA, 1192 nt
Filed under: Staphylococcus pseudintermedius
Lineage: Bacteria; Bacillati; Bacillota; Bacilli; Caryophanales; Staphylococcaceae
Description: partial 23S ribosomal RNA
Rfam family: Bacterial large subunit ribosomal RNA
Source: RNAcentral